Molecule: ribosomal RNA, 418 nt
Filed under: uncultured prokaryote
Description: bacterial SSU rRNA
Rfam family: Archaeal small subunit ribosomal RNA
Source: RNAcentral
GUGUCAGCAGCCGCGGUAAUACCAGCUCUCCGAGUGGUGGGGAUGAUUAUUGGGCCUAAAGCAUCCGUAGCCGGCUGGACAAGUCCCCUGUUAAAUCCAACGAUCCAAUCGUUGGUCUGCGGGGGAUACUGUCCGGCUUGGGGGCGGGAGAGGCCGCCGGUAUUUCCGGGGUAGGGGUGAAAUCCUAUAAUCCCGGGAGGACCACCAGUGGCGAAGGCUGUCGGCUAGAACGCGCCCGACGGUGAGGGAGGAAAGCUGGGGGAGCGAACCGGAUUAGAUACCCGGGUAGUCCCAGCUGUAAACGAUGCAGGCUAGGUGUUAGGGCGGCUACGUGCCGCUCUAGUGCCGCAGGGAAGCCGUUAAGCCUGCCGCCUGGGGAGUACGGUCGCAAGGCUGAAACUCAAAUGAAUUGGCGGGG